GGUCUCGUUGGUGACCAGCGGAGGGAUCAUUACCGAGUUUACAACUCCCAAACCCCUGUGAACAUACCUCUGUUGCUUCGGCGGGACCGCCCCGGGCCUCUGUGCCUGGAACUAGGCGCCCGCCGGAGACCCCUAACUCUUGCUUUUAUUAUGGAAUCUUCUGAGUCAAACAAACAAAUGAAUCAAAACUUUCAACAACGGAUCUCUUGGUUCUGGCAUCGAUGAAGAACGCAGCGAAAUGCGAUACGUAAUGUGAAUUGCAGAAUUCAGUGAAUCAUCGAAUCUUUGAACGCACAUUGCGCCCGCCAGUACUCUGGCGGGCAUGCCUGUCCGAGCGUCAUUUCAACCCUCAAGCCCCCGGGCUUGGUGUUGGGGACCGGCCGCUGCUCGCGCGGCGGCCGCCCCCGAAUUUCAGUGGCGGUCUCGCUGUAGCCUCCCCUGCGUAGUAGCACACCUCGCAGUGGAAUGCAGCGCGGCCAAGCCGUAAAACCCCCCAACUUCUGAAUGUUGACCUCGGAUCAGGUAGGAAUACCCGCUGAACUUAAGCAUAUCAAUAAGCGGAGGA
This 565-nucleotide ribosomal RNA is filed under the name uncultured Hypocreales. RNAcentral's name for it is "eukaryotic LSU rRNA". The stretch from base 187 to 340 matches the Rfam family "5.8S ribosomal RNA". The record is from RNAcentral. Lineage: Eukaryota; Fungi; Ascomycota; Sordariomycetes; Hypocreales.